UGAGGAAUAUUGGUCAAUGGACGCAAGUCUGAACCAGCCAAGUAGCGUGCAGGAUGACGGCCCUAUGGGUUGUAAACUGCUUUUAUAUGGGGAUAAAGUGGGGAACGUGUUCCCUUUUGCAGGUACCAUAUGAAUAAGGACCGGCUAAUUCCGUGCCAGCAGCCGCGGUAAUACGGAAGGUUCGGGCGUUAUCCGGAUUUAUUGGGUUUAAAGGGAGCGUAGGCCGUUUGGUAAGCGUGUUGUGAAAUGUAGGAGCUCAACUUCUAGAUUGCAGCGCGAACUGUCAGACUUGAGUGCGCACAACGUAGGCGGAAUUCAUGGUGUAGCGAUGAAAUGCUUAGAUAUCAUGACGAACUCCGAUUGCGAAGGCAGCUUACGGGAGCGCAACUGACGCUAAAGCUCGAAGGUGCGGGUAUCGAACAGG
RNAcentral lists this ribosomal RNA (424 nucleotides) under Verrucomicrobiota bacterium. RNAcentral describes it as "Verrucomicrobia bacterium partial 16S ribosomal RNA". It matches the Rfam family "Bacterial small subunit ribosomal RNA", at positions 355 to 776 of the family's 1533-position model. The record is from RNAcentral. Lineage: Bacteria; Pseudomonadati; Verrucomicrobiota.